GUGGGGAAUAUUGCGCAAUGGGGGAAACCCUGACCCAGCGACGCCGUGUGAGGGAAGAAGGCCUUAGGGUCGUAAACCUCUGUUGUGUGGGAAGAAGAGCGUGACGGUACCACACGAGGAAGUCCCGGCUAACUACGUGCCAGCAGCCGCGGUAAUACGUAGGGGACGAGCGUUGUCCGGAUUUACUGGGCGUAAAGGGCGCGUAGGCGGUCAUUUAAGUCCGCUGUGAAAUGGUUUGGCUUAACCGGAUCAUGCGGUUGAAACUGGAUGACUGGAGUGCUGGAGAGGCAAGUGGAAUUCCCAGUGUAGCGGUGAAAUGCGUAGAUAUUGGGAAGAACACCGGUGGCGAAGGCGACUUGCUGGCCAGCAACUGACGCUGAGGCGCGAAAGCCAGGGGAGCAAACGGGAUUAGAAACCCUAGUAGUCC
Molecule: ribosomal RNA, 427 nt
Filed under: uncultured bacterium
Lineage: Bacteria
Description: partial 16S ribosomal RNA
Rfam family: Bacterial small subunit ribosomal RNA
Source: RNAcentral